This 24-nucleotide ribosomal RNA is filed under the name Tecomella undulata. RNAcentral's name for it is "partial 18S ribosomal RNA". Lineage: Eukaryota; Viridiplantae; Streptophyta; Magnoliopsida; Lamiales; Bignoniaceae. The record is from RNAcentral.
ACCUGCGGAAGGAUCAUUGUCGAA